This 467-nucleotide ribosomal RNA is filed under the name uncultured bacterium. RNAcentral's name for it is "partial 16S ribosomal RNA". It matches the Rfam family "Bacterial small subunit ribosomal RNA", at positions 30 to 507 of the family's 1533-position model. The record is from RNAcentral.
CGACCGCUGGCGGCGUGCUUACCACAUGCAAGUCGAACGGAAAGGCCCUGCUUGCAGGGUGCUCGAGUGGCGAACGGGUGAGUAACACGUGGGUGAUCUGCCCCUUACUUUGGGAUAAGCCUGGGAAGCUGGGUCUAAUACUGGAUAGGACCAUGCUGUAGGUGGUGUGGUGGAAAGAUUAGUUUCGGUAAGGGAUGAGCUCGCGGCCUAUCAGCUUGUUGGUGGGGUAAUGGCCUACCAAGGCGUCGACGGGUAGCCGGCCUGAGAGGGUGGACGGCCACAUUGGGACUGAGAUACGGCCCAGACUCCUACGGGAGGCAGCAGUGGGGAAUAUUGCACAAUGGGCGCAAGCCUGAUGCAGCGACGCCGCGUGGGGGAUGACGGCCUUCGGGUUGUAAACUCCUUUCAGCCAUGACGAAGCCCUUGUGGUGACGGUAGUGGUAGAAGAAGCACCGGCUAACUACGUG